This 265-nucleotide long non-coding RNA is filed under the name Ananas comosus (pineapple). Its description in RNAcentral is "long non-coding RNA (ACOM_LNC010070)". Lineage: Eukaryota; Viridiplantae; Streptophyta; Magnoliopsida; Poales; Bromeliaceae. The record is from RNAcentral.
GGUGAGAACUAUCUUCCAUAGUUCCCAGUGGGCUCGGCCGCCGACUCUGCCGAUCUCCCCACUAGGUCCAAGUGGGCACAAGUAACAACAGAUAGAUAGAUAGAUAUGUAUCUGAAAGCUGUAAAUGCGAUAGUAGGAAAACUAUGCUACUAUGCCCAUAAUCAUGAAUAUGAAUGCAUGCAUCAUAUAAUAAAGGUUUGCUACCAUGCUAACAAAUUCGAUCCAUGUUCGAAUAGCAAUGUUCAAUGACAUUAUUAAACCUUUA